AUGUCUGUUUGAAGAUGUAAACAGUCUAGCCUGCCCACUGAUAGUUGUUAAAGGGCCGCGGUAUUCUGACCGUGCAAAGGUAGCAUAAUCGUUUGUUUCUUAAUUGGGAUCUUGUAUGAAUGGUUGGACAAAAGAAAGACUGUCUCUAUAGUUUAUAUUGAAUUUAACUUUUAAGUGAAAAGGCUUAAAUGUAUUGAAGGGACGAUAAGACCCUAUAAAGCUUGAUAUUUUAUAAUAGUAGAUUUAAUUUUAUAAUUAUAAAAAUUUACUGUUAAAAGUUUAUUUUAUUGGGGCGAUAAAAGUAAAAUGCUUAAUAACUGCUUUAGACCCACGACAAAUGUAGUUGAUUAAUACUGACAUAUUAAUGGAUCCUAGAUAAAGAUUAAAAGAUUAAGUUACUUUAGGGAUAACAGCGUUAUUUUUUUUGAGAGUUCUUAUCGAAAAAAAAGUUUGCGACCUCGAUGUUGAAUUAAAAUUUCUUUAUA
This 485-nucleotide ribosomal RNA is filed under the name Goniopsis pelii. RNAcentral describes it as "partial 16S ribosomal RNA". It matches the Rfam family "Bacterial large subunit ribosomal RNA", at positions 1817 to 2552 of the family's 2925-position model. Lineage: Eukaryota; Metazoa; Arthropoda; Malacostraca; Decapoda; Grapsidae. The record is from RNAcentral.